This 681-nucleotide ribosomal RNA is filed under the name uncultured nitrite-oxidizing bacterium. RNAcentral's name for it is "bacterial SSU rRNA". It matches the Rfam family "Bacterial small subunit ribosomal RNA", at positions 21 to 696 of the family's 1533-position model. The record is from RNAcentral.
GGCUCAGAACGAACGCUGGCGGCGUGCUUAACACAUGCAAGUCGAACGGGUUCAUGUAGCAAUACUGAUAUAAAGUGGCGGACGGGUGAGUAACACGUAGGUAACCAACCCUCAAGCGGGGGACAACCCAGGGAAACUUGGGCUAAUACCGCAUAAGACCACGGCCUGGGAUGGCUGAGGUAAAAGCUGCACUGUGAGCAAUUCACUUGAGGAUGGGCCUGCGGCCUAUCAGGUAGUUGGUAAGGUAAUGGCUUACCAAGCCUAAGACGGGUAGCCGGACUGAGAGGUUGAACGGCCACACUGGAACUGAGACACGGUCCAGACUCCUACGGGAGGCAGCAGUGGGGAAUUUUGCGCAAUGGGCGAAAGCCUGACGCAGCGACGCCGCGUGGAGGAUGAAGGUUUUCGGAUUGUAAACUCCUUUUAUAGGGGAAGAUGAAGUGGGUAACCACUUUGACGGUACCCUAUGAAUAAGCCACGGCUAACUCUGUGCCAGCAGCCGCGGUAAUACGAAGGUGGCAAGCGUUGUUCGGAUUCACUGGGCGUACAGGGAGCGUAGGCGGUUGGGUAAGCCCUCCGUGAAAUCUCCGGGCCUAACCCGGAAAGUGCAGAGGGGACUGCUCAGCUAGAGGAUGGGAGAGGAGCGCGGAAUUCCCGGUGUAGCGGUGAAAUGCGUAGAGA